Molecule: ribosomal RNA, 351 nt
Filed under: uncultured Trichococcus sp.
Lineage: Bacteria; Bacillati; Bacillota; Bacilli; Lactobacillales; Carnobacteriaceae
Description: bacterial SSU rRNA
Rfam family: Bacterial small subunit ribosomal RNA
Source: RNAcentral
AAMCSGRAGGAAGGUGGGGRAUGACGUCAAAUCAUCAUGCCCCUUAUGACCUGGGCUACACACGUGCUACAAUGGAUGGUACAACGAGCAGCAAGACCGCGAGGUCAAGCGAAUCUCUUAAAGCCAAUUCUCAGUUCGGAUUGCAGGCUGCAACUCGCCUGCAUGAAGCCGGGAAUCGCUAGUAAUCGCGGAUCAGCACGCCGCGGUGAAUACGUUCCCGGGUCUUGUACACACCGCCCGUCACACCACGAGAGUUUGUAACACCCGAAGUCGGUGAGGUAACCUUUUUGGAGCCAGCCGCCUAAGGUGGGACAGAUGAUUGGGGUGAAGUCGUAACAAGGUAACCAAGCC